GGAAAGGAAGCUUUAUUGUUUCCAAGGACUCUGCUGGAGGAGUCAUACAAACUUCGCCAUUUCUUCCUCUGAUGUCCAGGUGCCAUGAUUGUCUGAGGAAGGGAGAAAAAGUCUUUGAAGUGGCUACCAGGAUCCUUUGCAGAUCUCUGGGAUGUCAUUCACUCAUGCUUCUGUGCUGGGUGACUCCUACCAUCAUCACAUUCUUCCAAUUCUCCCAGUAGGGUAUGCAGUAGUCAUGUAGGCAGAACCUUCUGAGCUACAGCAAA
Gorilla gorilla gorilla (western lowland gorilla) is the source of this 266-nucleotide unclassified non-coding RNA. Lineage: Eukaryota; Metazoa; Chordata; Mammalia; Primates; Hominidae. The record is from Ensembl.